ACGUAGGGGGCAAGCGUUAUCCGGAAUUAUUGGGCGUAAAGAGUGCGUAGGUGGUUUUUUAAGCGUGAGGUGAAAGGCAAUAGCUUAACUAUUGUAAGCCUUGCGAACUGGAAGACUUGAGUGCAGGAGAAGAAAGUGGAAUUCCUAGUGUAGCGGUGAAAUGCGUGGAUAUUAGAAGGUACACCAGUGGCGAGGGCGACUUUCUGGACCGUAACUAACACUGAGCCACGAUAGCGUAGGGAACAAGCAG
This 250-nucleotide ribosomal RNA is filed under the name uncultured prokaryote. RNAcentral describes it as "partial 16S rRNA". It matches the Rfam family "Bacterial small subunit ribosomal RNA", at positions 525 to 775 of the family's 1533-position model. The record is from RNAcentral.